Non-coding RNA from Bacteroides sp. CAG:598, 56 nucleotides. The record is from Rfam. NCBI's taxonomy places the organism in Bacteria, Pseudomonadati, Bacteroidota, Bacteroidia, Bacteroidales, Bacteroidaceae.
GGAGAGGUGGCAGAGUGGUCGAUUGCGGCGGUCUUGAAAACCGUUGUGCUGCGAGG